RNAcentral lists this long non-coding RNA (871 nucleotides) under Coturnix japonica (Japanese quail). RNAcentral describes it as "lncRNA (ENSCJPG00005005346.1)". The record is from RNAcentral. Lineage: Eukaryota; Metazoa; Chordata; Aves; Galliformes; Phasianidae.
AGGCCAUUUGUGAGUCCAGCACCUGAUCUAUCUGCCUUUCUCACUUAACCUGGUUGUCUUGUACCAUCUGCAGUUUCAGAGGCUUUCUUCUUGAGGUGUCACAGCAAUGCAAAGGUUAAGAUUCCUCCCUAGUCAGAGAGGCACUAGAAAUACUCGAGAGCUGUCAACAAUUUCAAUUGGAAACUUCCUUUCACAGUGGAGGACCCUGCGUGUCAAAGCAAGCUGUUCAGCAGCUUGAAUUCAGCCUACUUGAUCCAGCCUGUUUACCUCUUAGGAUUGCUUGCAGGGUGGGGCUUUGCUCUGCACUUAAUGCUGGCCAAUCCUUAAAAUGUUGCCUGCUCUUGUAGUGCAUGAGCAUGGUUCUUUUGGUGGCUGCACUGAAGGCAGCACAAAAAAUGGUAAAAUUAAAUGUGAUUCUGUCAAAUGAAGAUGCACCAUUUCUCCACAAGGCUUAUUAUGAUUUCCAAAAAUGCAAGAGAAGGGGUUAUUAAUAUUCUUCCUAGAGGCUUUGGAUGUGCUCCAGUAUUUGAUGAGAAAUCUGCACCUCGGGAAGAGCAUAUGAGAAUUUAAAAACCAGUACAAAACACAGCAGAGAUAAACUGGUUGACAACUAAAUGUUGUCCAUUACUGCCCUUGUUAAAUCAGUGUCAUACAUGUACAACAGCUAAUGAUGGAUUAAAGGCCUGUAAAUUCUUUUCCCCUCUCUUGAGUCUAUCCUUGUACUGAAUCCAUUUUUAUACUCAUUAUGAAACCACAUUUUGUGGUUGAGCAGCUGAAUUCAAAAUGCUCCAGUCUGCAACAGGUGUAUGGCAGAAACUAAUAACCCUGGCCACUGCUAAUAAAAUAUAGUUGUAAAAUAAUUUGCUUUUCA